UGCUCUUGUGCUCAGGGAAAUAAAGGAGGUGUACUUCAACCCUGUGAAGGAGUGGACACCUUCAAGCUAUGAAGCAGUAGGAAAAAUAAUAGCUCUGAGUCUCCUCCAAAAUGGUAAACUUCCAAGAGAUUUCAGUUCAGAUAUUGUAGAGGAGAUUACCAGUCCCAAUGUGAGGGAGUUCAUUCAGGAGCUUCGAAAGGGAUUAGAUGCCCUUGGACUUUGUCAGCUUCUUCAUCUGUUCACUGAUAAUGAUACACACAACUUUCUGACAUUAAAGAGACUUAACUAGUCUUUUGAAAGCGGACUUCAGUGUGGAUGGGUCCAAUAACAAGCAGACAGAGGGGAAGAUUUACUCUGCAUUCAUUAAAUAUUUGCGGGAGGUUGCUGGUAGAUAUGAAAACUUCUGAUACUCUGUAUUUCAAUUUUCUAUCUUUACUACUUUAUUAAAAUAAUAGACUCGAAUUUUUUGGCUUUAAUACCGAGAAUCAAAAGAGUACUGUGUUUUGUUUUAUAUAUUUUGAACAUCAUUGGUGUGAAGAUUACCAAUUUGUUUUUAUUUUUUUCUUAAUCACGCUUCGCUUAUUAAUAAUCAACGAAAAUUCCUUUUAAAAAUCCGGAAAUCAUCUGGAAUUUUAAAUCAUCUGGAAUUUUUGGAUUUUACAAUCUUGCGCAUGGGCACUACAUUCACGCUAAAUCACGGGAGGCUCUUUAGUUUAUGUUUCCACAAUAUCACAUUUGCAUGGAUAAACUAUAAACCGAUGAUACAGGUACAUGUAAAUUUUUAUUCAAAAUUUGCUUUCAUAUUCUGUUCAUCAAAGAAAAUACGGGAGAUAACCUUAACUCAGUGCCUUUAAUAUAAAAAAUCCCGAGAGCGCUGAAUGUCAACAUGGUGUGUAUAUUUGAAGCGAAAAGUGUUAAAUUCUUCAUUAAUAUGAAUUCGACUUUUAAAUGAUAGGUAUUUUACAGCUUCAAUAUGGUUUGUUAUGAAUAGUUUGACUGCUAAUUUCAAUGCAGCUUCAUUAUUUUUCUCCAAAAUUGAUUCUGCAAUUUUAAGCUCACUUGAGCUGAAAGCUCAAGUGAGUUUUUCUGAUCACAUUUUGUCUGUCGUCUGUCUGUCCAUCCCUCUGUCCGUUAACUUCAGCAUCUUCUCAAGAACUACUUGGCCAAUUUCAAUUAAACUUGGCACAAAUCAUCCUUAGGCAAAGGGAAUUCAAAGUUGUGAAAGUUUAGUGCCACACCCUUUUUUCAAGGGGAGAUAAUUAGAAAUCAAUGAAAAAUUUUAAGAAAUUUUCAAAAAUCUUCUCUCAAGAACCAUAAAGCCAGGAAAGCCGAAACUUGUGUGGAAGCAUCCUCAUGUAUUGUAGAUUCAAAGUUGUGAUAGUCUUGACCCCCGGGGGUAGGUCGUGGCCACAAUGGUGGGUCGAAGUUUUACAUAGGAAUAUAUAUGGUAAAUCUUUAAAAAUAUUCUUCUCAGAAACUAAUCAGCCAGAUGAUUCUUUAAAGUUGUUAAGACUUUGGCUCCAUGUCAAUUCUUCGGCCUCACAAGAAGGUUCAGAGUUUGAUGUAGCUUUAUAUCCCAUAUAUAAACAAUUGUUAAGGAUCUGUUUUAGAACUGCAAUACUCAACAUGUGAUAUGACUAUAAAAUCAUCCGGUUAGAAAAGAAACUAAUGAUUAUAAAGAAUAUUCAGGGGGGGGGGGGGGGUUAUUUAUACAGGAUCUACAUGUAUUAUUGUACAUUGUCCAGAUAGUUUGUAUUAUGACUCCAUUAAGCUGAUUUUAUCAUACCUAUUUUUCCUCAAGUGAGCGAUAUGACCCAUAGGCCUCUUGUUUGCUACAUUACGGGUAUAUGGUAGGCAUUUUAUUUGUGGUGAAGGCCUGUCCAGAAGCAAUAGGAAAUCUAAUUUUUACAUUGAAA
Molecule: long non-coding RNA, 1916 nt
Organism: Magallana angulata
Lineage: Eukaryota; Metazoa; Mollusca; Bivalvia; Ostreida; Ostreidae
Exons: 3
Source: RefSeq, a predicted model, not a curated record